This 65-nucleotide transfer RNA is filed under the name Kroppcarcinus siderastreicola. Its description in RNAcentral is "tRNA-Arg". Lineage: Eukaryota; Metazoa; Arthropoda; Malacostraca; Decapoda; Cryptochiridae. The record is from RNAcentral.
UAUUAGAAAGCGAAUUAUUGCAAUUAGUUUCGACCUAAUCUUUAGGCUAAUAGCCUUCUAAUAAC